Non-coding RNA from Caerostris darwini, 72 nucleotides. NCBI's taxonomy places the organism in Eukaryota, Metazoa, Arthropoda, Arachnida, Araneae, Araneidae. The record is from the annotation of a GenBank genome assembly.
UCCCAUGCGGUCCAGUGGUUAGGAUUCCUGUCUCUCACCCAGGCGGCCUGGGUUUGAUUCCUGGCGUGGGAA